UGAAACAAAACCAAAAAAAAAAAAAAAAAAAAAAAAAAAAAAAAAAAAAAAAAAAAAGAAAGAAACAAAACCUACUAAUCCCUAAUAGCUAUAUUUAAGGCUGAAGUCUGAAAGCUAAAUAGGUAUAACCAAAUCAAUAUUACAGCACCAGAGUACUCUCAUUGUAAGCAAAGUGUCUACCAGGAAAUAAAAAGCAUCCAAUGAUAGAAAGUUUCACCUACACGUUAAUCUCAUGGCAUCUUUACAAAUCAGGUGCAGAGAGUCGAGGGGAUGUGUCUGAUGUCAUGCAGCUGCUGAAAAGAGAAACCAGGCCCAGGCCUCAGACACAGCAUCCUACUUUGCGGCAAAAGGAGUUGCAACUUCCGGUAGAUCUUCUAAAUCCUGCUGCACAUAAUGGAAUUCAAGCUCAUGACUGUAGGUAGGUCUUCAUAUCAUCUCACCAGCGACAUGGUCUUUUCUCUUUCCUGCUUGACCACUGUUGACCCUGGGCACCUGGCAACUGGGGGAUGGCUUAGAAAUGCCUGGUUCAGAUUGUGACCGAACAAGAAAACUUCAUUCUGUUUUCUUCUCUAGGGGUUCUCUGGGCCCGACUUUUCUCAUCUUAAAAAUGAGGGUUGUUUUUUUUUUCCUCUUCCAUCUCAACAAAUCUGAGACUGGUAUCUCCCCUAGUAAGAGUUUUAUUUUCUUUUAAAGAUUUAUUUAUUUAUUUGAGAGAGAGAAAGAGAGAGCAUGAGCAAGCAUGAGCAGGGGAAGGGACAGAGGCAGAGACAGAGACAGAGAGAAUCCACAAGCAGACUCUCCGCUGAACACAGAGCCCAAUGCAGGGCUCAAUCCCAGGACCCUGAGGUCUUGACCUGAGCAGAAACCAAGAGGCAGCCUCUUUACUUACUGAGCCACCCAGGUUCCCCUCCCCCAGUAAACGUUUUAAAUUGGGGUGAGGAAGGUGAGAAAUAAGGAGAAAAUGAUUGGAAUCCCUAGGAUAGGAGGGCCAGGGGGAUUUUCUCAAACUCUAAGUGAGAUUUCCAGCCAAAGAGUUUUCUAAUAUCCCUUCUAAAUAUGAACCUAUGACUACCUCCACACCCCACCACCCUUUAAUUUUCUCUCCAUUUGUUCCCCAGUGAGGUUGGGGCCACAUCUCUUUUAAGAUUACAUCAGUAAUAUUUUUUGUUAGUGGUCUCUGAGCUUGCUCACAAAACAUGAGUUCAUAGAAAGCCCUACUGGUUGCCAAGUUUUAGCAGUAAUUGGCAUUUAUACUUUGAGAAAUCUUUAUCAAAAAUCUUAUACAUAUAUCAAAUAAUCCAUUUGUCAAAACUAACUCCCCAUAAAUGGUUUUUUUUUCCUGGCAUAUAUGAUCACAGGUUAUUGCUUAAGUUUAUAUAUGAUUUAAUUGGAGAUGUUUAAUCACCAAGGGUUCAACUUUGC
RNAcentral lists this long non-coding RNA (1422 nucleotides) under Canis lupus dingo (dingo). Its description in RNAcentral is "lncRNA (ENSCAFG00020001884.1)". Lineage: Eukaryota; Metazoa; Chordata; Mammalia; Carnivora; Canidae. The record is from RNAcentral.